Molecule: long non-coding RNA, 591 nt
Organism: Nycticebus coucang (slow loris)
Lineage: Eukaryota; Metazoa; Chordata; Mammalia; Primates; Lorisidae
Exons: 3
Source: RefSeq, a predicted model, not a curated record
GUUCGCUUGUUCAAACAUGCAUUAUUGUUAAUACUGCGAGCCAGGCACCAUUCCAGGUAUACGACUCCCCUGGAUGACCCGUGAUUCUACAAAUUUUGCACUGUUCAAAUGCUUUGUUCAUUGAUGAGCAAGAGAUGCAUCAUUGUAUUCUCCCAGCCCUGGUUUGCAGACAUGGGCAAAAAAUUUCUGUGUUAUCCUGCCUUUAGCACAACUUAUAAAACCCAGAUAUGCUAGCUACUCAGCAACCCUUGGUUUCUCUUCUUGUUUGCAAAAGCCCAGUUAGAAGUGCACAGCCACCUGUUCCUUCCUGGCUCCCUGACGGUUUCUACAGAACACGUUCCUGUACACUUAAAAAUGUUUUAAUGACUAGGACCAAUGACACUCUGGUACCAAUGAGCACAUUCAGUGACUAAAUACUGAUGUCCAUACACAUUUAUUUUAUAAAAAGAACCAAGAAUCCUUGGAGAAAUGGCUGAUUCCAGGUCUGGGCUGGGAAAGUGAGCCUGGAAUAUCUUGUGGAGACAGAAAUUGAGGGAGCACUCCAAAUAUGACCUUUGGACACCCUGGCCAAAUUCAAGGGCGUUCCAAUGG